This 253-nucleotide ribosomal RNA is filed under the name uncultured bacterium. RNAcentral's name for it is "partial 16S ribosomal RNA". It matches the Rfam family "Bacterial small subunit ribosomal RNA", at positions 524 to 776 of the family's 1533-position model. The record is from RNAcentral.
UACAGGGGGUGCAAACGUUGCUCGGAAUCAUUGGGCGUAAAGCGCACGUAGGCGGUUCGUUAUGUCGGAUGUGAAAGCCCUUGGCUUAACCGAGGAAGUGCAUCCGAAACUGGCGAGCUAGAGUACGAAAGAGGAUCGCGGAAUUCCCGGUGUAGAGGUGAAAUUCGUAGAUAUUGGGAAGAACACCGGUGGCGAAGGCGGCUCACUGGCCCGUUUCUGACGCUCAGGCGCGACAGCGUGGGGAUCAAACAGG